ACGGAAGGCAGCAGUAGGGAAUCUUCGGCAAUGGGGGCAACCCUGACCGAGCAACGCCGCGUGAGUGAAGAAGGUUUUCGGAUCGUAAAGCUCUGUUGUAAGAGAAGAACGUUGAUGAGAGUGGAAAAUUCAUCAAGUGACGGUAUCUUACCAGAAAGGGACGGCUAACUACGUGCCAGCAGCCGCGGUAAUACGUAGGUCCCGAGCGUUGUCCGGAUUUAUUGGGCGUAAAGCGAGCGCAGGCGGUUUCGUAAGUCUGAAGUUAAAGGCAGUGGCUCAACCAUUGUUCGCUUUGGAAACUGCGAGACUUGAGUGCAGAAGGGGAGAGUGGAAUUCCAUGUGUAGCGGUGAAAUGCGUAGAUAUAUGGAGGAACACCGGUGGCGAAAGCGGCUCUCUGGUCUGUAACUGACGCUGAGGCUCGAAAGCGUGGGGAGCAAACAGGAUUAGAUACCCUGGUA
This 459-nucleotide ribosomal RNA is filed under the name uncultured Streptococcus sp. Its description in RNAcentral is "bacterial SSU rRNA". It matches the Rfam family "Bacterial small subunit ribosomal RNA", at positions 341 to 792 of the family's 1533-position model. The record is from RNAcentral. Lineage: Bacteria; Bacillati; Bacillota; Bacilli; Lactobacillales; Streptococcaceae.